Molecule: long non-coding RNA, 8227 nt
Organism: Loxodonta africana (African savanna elephant)
Lineage: Eukaryota; Metazoa; Chordata; Mammalia; Proboscidea; Elephantidae
Exons: 2
Source: RefSeq, a predicted model, not a curated record
CCCCGCCCCCGGCGUUCCCCGAGCCGCCGGGGCCUGCGCCCAGAAGAUUAGAAGGGCGUGGAGUGGGGGGAGUCGAGGGUCGCUCUCUGAGCCCAGUGGGGUUCCUCCUGCGGAGAGUCAUCUGUUUGUCAAACAUUUACUGACCGUCCGCUGAUUGCGAGAAACGCGGGCGAGUCAAAAUUUCACCUACCCUUUGAGUGCCUACUAAGGACCUGGGCCUGUGGGCGCCGCCACACGUGGGCGGUGGAGGGCCCAGCCCUCGGUGCCUGCCCUGGGUGCCAACCAAGGACGUUCCUUGAGUUCCUCAGACACUUCCUCGGGGUCGCACCAACCCCCUACCCCCUUCUCUCCACUUCCAGGGCCCAACCCGGAGGAGGAGUCACCGCCUGGAGACCCCAGCUAAGGCCAUGCCUGGGAAUGCUAGGACCCAAUCCGGCUUUGAUUACACCCCCAGCACCCACAGGCCUGCCCGUCCGUUGGUCCAUCCCUCCCUCGCUCCCUCACCACGAACCUGCUCCAGGUCCAGUGUGCCGGGCAGAGGCAGUUUAGGGACCCAGGCUCUGGUCUGGGGGGAGCCGGAGCACUCUGGGCCGGCUGUGAAGACCUGAAGCCCACAGCUUGCAAAGGACCAAGACAACAAGAGAGGAAGGCUGGGUGUGAAAACGUCCCUCCCGACACGCCCCAGCUCCUGUGGGCGGCCCUGCUUGCUGGUGGAGCCCCCAAACCGGCGCCCAGGUUGGCUUAGCCAGCUCCGCACGUCUUGGCUCAAGCCCUCGCCCUCCGCCGCCGGUACAUACAAAGCCCCCUUUCAGUGGCAGGGCUUCUGUUGGGCGGCGGAGGCUGCUCAGGAGGUUUGGUUAACCACGUUAAGAAAACAAACAGCCCUGGGCCAUGGGCGGGCCGGCGGGCGCCGCUGCGCACAAAGGCGUGAUUCUUCUCUCCCAGGCUGGCUGGGGGGCGACAGGGGCCCGCCACCUGGGGCUCCACCUGUGUAACCCGUGGGCAGCCCCUCGAGCCUCAGUGUCCAGAUCUGUAGAAUGGAGAGUUGUCGCGUGGAUUACACGAAGCCACGCUGGCAGAGUUCAGCACGGAGCCUAGAACACAGUUAAGUCAAUAUUAGCUAUUAUUGUUUCAGUGAAUUAUACAAACUGGCUUUUUGUAAAUCAAGAUUGAUGGGGUGGCCUAUUGGCAAUUACAUAUGGGCCACCCUAAUAUAGUUAGUGAUUUCUGCCUUGAAACAAAUUCUACCACUCUUUCAGUAUCCUGAAAUUGCAAGGCUAGCUAAAAACUAUUUCAGCUACUAACUGGGAUCUGGGUUUUCCCUGAUUUUCUCAAUACUGGCAACCAGUGGAAAAAGAAAAAAAAAAAAGCAAAGAAAUAAAUUGGAAGCAGCGGUUGAUGCAAAUCAACUAUCCUGUUCAUCAAAACAGCCUUAGUUCUUACUGAUUGCCUUUUUUAAUAAGUACAUUUUAUAAAUUUGAAAUAAACUUGAAAUAAUAAGUUUACAGUAAACCAAAAAAUCCUGUUGCUGCCGAGUCCAUUCGGUCUCACAGUGACCCUAUAGUAUAGUACACUCACAGUCCCCCCGCCCCAUCCACGGUUUCCCUUUCCCAGGCUUCAGUUACAGCAGUCAACCAUGGUCUGGGCUCAGCUGUACUGAACAUAUACAGACUUUUUUGUCAUCAUUAUUCCCUAAGCAACACAGUAUAACAACUAUUUACAUAGCAUUUACAUUGUAUUGGGUAUUAUAAGUAAUCUAGAGAUGAUUUAAAGUAUAGGGAAGAUGUGUAGGUUAUAUGCAAAUGCUACGCCAUUUUAUACAAGCGACUUGACCAUCCUCGAAUUUUGGUAUCUCUAGGGGUCCUGGAACCAAUUCCCCGAGGAUACAAAGGGAUGAUUGUAUACUAGUAUUUUGUUUUCAUUGGAUUUCAGUGUAAGAUGUUGUCUAAAAAAACAGUUCUACUAAAACCUUUUAAAUUCAUAAAAUAAUCUAAACCCUUCAUUUUAUAGAUGAGGAAACUGAGAUGUGAAGAAGGGAAGUGGGUUCUUGAAGGCACCUCAGCCGAGCGUGUCCUGCCUGAGCUCUGAGAGCAAAGCUUGGCUCAGGGCAGGCUGGCGACCUGCUUCCCAGGGGGAAGGCAGGCUCUAGACCCAGGGUUCCAGCCAACAGUGUCACUCCUAGGGCCCUAGGGGCCACCUGCCCCAUGCCCAGAUAUGAGAGGCAGUUCGCCUGCUUCAGAUAACACAACCCAGGGCUGGCUAACGGGAGCAGGCAGAGGUCACCCCAGCCACCUUGCAUCCAAGGCAGCACAACUUUCCAGGGAGAUUUUUCUGGUAAUAACAAUGUGCCCAGCACUAGGUUCAAGGAACACUCAGGUACUGUCAGGUAACAGGGGUUUAUUAUGAAGAGAGCUGUGGGACCAAGAACUAGGACAACAGGAAAGCCAGGCCAGAGGCCAGGAGGGGCCACAGCUCCAGGCCUUGAGCUCAGGACUGGAGGUGCCCCCUACUCACAGUCUAAUCCUGGUUGCUGUUUGUGGCUUCUCUCUCGGUAAGCAGAGAUUUUGGUCUCUGUCAUUAAUGGUCUCCAGCUACUCACUGAAGCUGCUUCUGUCUCUCAGCUACUGCUCCUACUAUCCAACUGGGCAACCCAUCAUGUAUGUCUGAGGAGAGAGUACCUCACAGGUGUCAGAGGAACUCAAAUGCCUACAAGGUCAGGUGGCUAAUAAAAUGGGACUUGUCCUUAACAGGCCUACUACAUGGAUUUUGGUAUUUAAGAAAACAACUUAGUGGGUUAGUGUCUAGGUUCCUCUUGCCCCCCUUGUCUGGCUUGUGUGGGAUAUAGUGGGGCAGACAAACUGAGUCAAGCAGACUGGGUUCAGGUUUAACCCUGGGGUGGGACUUUGGGAAAGCUGCCUGAGCUCUCUGAGCCUCGAUCUUUUUAGGUGGAAAAUAAUACCCACCUGGCAGGGCCAUGGUGAUGGGGUUGGUCGUGGUGGUGGCGGCUGCUGAGUUGAUGCAGACUCAUGGUGACCCUGUGUGUGCAGAGCAGAACUACUCUAUAGGGUUUACAAGCCUGUGAUCUUUUGGGAGAUCGCCAGGCUGCCUUCCGAGGUACCUCUGGUUGGGUUUGAGCCACAAACUUUUCUGUUAGCAGUCAAGCACUUAACCAUUUGCACCAUCCAGGGACCUUGGUGAUGGGGUACCUGUACUUGUUGAUUCUGACUUACAGCAACCCUAUGGGAUAGAGUAGAACUGCCCCAUAGGGUUUCUAAGGCUGUAAAUCUGUACAGAAGCAAACUGCCACAUCUUUCUCCUGUGGAACAGCUGGCGGGUUCCAACGGCCAACCUCUCAAUUUGCAGCCAAGAACUUCACCACUGCACCACCAGGACUCCUCGGUGAUGGGAUAGUCCUGAGCACAGUGGCUGGCUCAGAGUAGGUGUUUAGCAAAUGGCAACUCUUCUAGUUAAUAACAUUUUUAGGCCCUGGGGUAGGAGGGGGCUGUUGGGGACAGCACCUGUUCUUGGCCGCCAGGUGCCUCGUUUUUCCUGGUAAGGCUGCCAGUGCUCCUGAGGGAGAGCUGCUGGUUUGGCCCCUGUGGUUAUGGCUGCUGCUGCUCAUAGUGGAAGAGGAAACGGAGAGCUCAGGAGCUGGAGGGGCAGUCAUUUGGAAACAACUGUCACGUCUCUUUAGGGAAGAGACUGGACAGGGUUUUUCAGAUUGGACAGGGUUUUUCUGGACCCAGACAAAGUGCAUCCUAUGGAGACCAAGUAGCCAACUUCCUCUCAGCAGCUGGCUUCCUGCAUCCUUGGUGAGGGGGCUUUCUUUCUGUCCCAGAGGUCUGGGGUCUCAGCCAGGGGCAUUUCCACAGUAGGCAAGGGUCAAAGGGGAGGAGGCCCAUCUGGGUCUAUCACCUGGCAGCCUGCAGGCCCGACCUGGGGCAACGAACACUAAUUCUGCCCCUACAGCAAGGCCCAAUGAACCCCAAAUUAGCUCAGAUUUAUGAAUGUCUUGGGGGAAAAAAAAACAAACCAAGAUCUGGCCCUCAGUGGGCUCACAGGCUCAAGGGGCAAUAAUCAGCUGGAGCUGAGGAGCAACCCGUCCCCUUAGGCCACCUUUGGGGGUGGGGAAAGAUACCAAGAGGAGCAGGAACAGCUGGUCCCUGACCUUAAGGAGCUCAGCAUCCACGAGGUUAAUGAGGUCACCUAAGAGACAACAGUACAGGAGGAUGAGAAAGACCAGAGAUUGAAGAGGAAGACAGGAUGGUGCCACUCGGAAGAGGUGGGAAAGAGGCAGGGCUCAUGUUCCAGGCUGGAGCUGGGCUGGGGAGUGGAUCAGAGAAAGCUUCCUGGAGGAUUUACAUAUAAGUAGGCCUUAAAAGAUGCACUGAAAAUAGCUUUAUUUAAAAUUUCUGAUUAUAAAUACAUAGAAAUUUCAAGCAAUAUAAGAUGGCAUAAAAAAUUAAAAAUAAUGCAAAAUUCCAUCCCUAGAGGCAAUCACAGUUCACAAUUCAAAUCCACAUCCUUCCCAUGUAUAAUUUUAAAUAAAUGUGAAUCAUACCAUAAUGCAAUUCUAUAACCUGCUUUUUUUACUCAAAAAUACAUAAUAGAGUGAUUUCCUUGUCAGUGAAUAUAGCUAUGUAUCAUCUUCAUUGGCUGUAUAAUAUCCAAUUGUAUGGCUGUACCAUAAUUCACUUAAUCCCUUUUUUUGAUGGACAUUUAGAUUGAUUCCAGUUUUUGUAACUGUAGAUAAUACUGUGAUGCACAUCUUUGGAUAGCCAUCCUCAUCGAUUUCAUUUCCAGAAGCAUUGUCUAUGGGGAUCCUCAGGGAAAGAUCUGAUACUGGUAAAUGUCCUCUCUAUGUCCUUACACUUACACGCCCAUCCACGAUGUUGAAGAAUAAAACAAAACCCACUGCAGCCGAGUCAAUUCUGACUCACCAUGACCCUAUAGGAUAGAAGAGAACUACCCCAUGGGGUUUCCAAGGCUGUAAUCUUUAUGGAAUUAGACUGCCACAUCUUUCUCCAGUGGACUGUGGCUGGUGUAUUCAAACCAUUGACCUUUCGGUUAGCAGCUGAGCAUUUAGCCACAGCGCCACCAGGGUUCCUCUCAAUGCCUGUUUCAGACAGGUAUAAUUCUGAGACUGAAGACAGGGACAGGGGCUGAGAAUGAAUGCUGCAGGUACAACACCCAGCAUUCACAAAGGCUUCAAAGGCUACACAGAAGUGAGAAGGUUAAGAGCAUAUUUGGAAUCAGUUUCCAUUUGGUGUUGGCCAUUGUUUUGAAGGAAUGGGAGACAAAUGAGGGAAGGUAAGUUGGGGUCUUACCUUCCCAGAGGACUAUGAAUGCCAGGUGGCAGUGUCUGCCAGUGGAGAACAAUCAUUCAACGGUUAUCUAUUUGGCACCUGUUUUGAGCCCAAGUUCCUGCUGGGGGCCAUGGAGUGAUAAAGACAUACACCUCAGAGAGCUUACAGUUUGGUGGAGAGAGCCAACAUAAAACCACACAACCGGUAUCACAAGACAUUGGCAGGUGAUGUACGCACCGUUCUCGGGGUCCAGAAGAUGGAGCUAAGCUGUUCUCAUCCAUUUCUAACACUCAGCUUACGUCUGACCUUGCCCAAACCUGGAGCAAAGAAUCCUAGCCGGUGUCUCCAAAGACAGAGCAUACAGUUCAGGUGCAUGCCAACUGCAGCAAAGGUGUUUCCUUCUCUGCCCCAGGACGGUUCACAAUUAUCUCCUCCCUUCCCUUCCCUUCCUUUCACCCUAGGCUGGUGAGUACUGGUGGGAAAAAUCCUUGGGGCUUGAUGCCCCUUGAAGCUCAGGGUCUUCAACCUCAUGUGGGCCCUAAGCAUGCUCAGCAAAGGACACUCCUUCCAUCACCGUCCUCUCUCCCCUCAAUCCAGACACUGGCUGCAGCCUUAGCAGAUAUGUCAUCUUCUCACCCUUUUUAAAAUUUGAGUUUCUGCAAAGGCAUUCUUUAUUUUCUUUAGGGUUCCCUGCUGUAGGUAACAUUUAGAAUAAAAAUCUUCUGGAAAGAGUUCAGAAGUUAUAAAUAUCUAUGUGUAAGUGAUCCUUCUACUCCUCUCACUUAUGAUUUCACCAAAUACUUAUAAUGAAUACUAGGGUUCCUCCAGCUCACCUUUGGCUCUGGUCUGCAUCGUUAGGGCUCUGGAGCCCAGAGAGAUUCUUGGGGAGAUAACCCAAGGGGAAAUGUAGACCUGUCUGUCUCAACAUCUCUAAUCCACUAGACUCCAAAUACACAGAUAAAAUAUCUCUGACAACAUCUUAAUUGUCAAGCAUGAAACCUUAGCUUUUCUGCCUUCCUUCCACCUAUAUAUUUCUUUCCCGCAGCCUCACAGUGAGGCUUCCUCUGAUCACAGUAACUCCCUCCUCCUGGGUUCUGGACUGCAUUUUCUCCAGGGCUUCCAGCUGUUUCCUUUGGACCCAACCCCUGCAGAAGAAACUGGUUUGAAGGGUAGAUUUUCUCCAAGAUCAGCUUCUGAUGGUUAUUUCCUUCCUCUCCCCUUAAUCUUAUUAACACACUCAAGUCAGCCCAACCUAAACUACAACAAAGCCCCCUUUUACUCUGUGUCUCCCCAACCUCUAGCCACUGCCUCCUCUUCCCAUUCAGAGGAGCCUCUUAAACAACAUGGUCAACACUCACUGUCCCUACUGCUUUCCCUCCCAGCUGCUCCAAAACCAUUUUGCCUCCUGUGUUUCACCUGUGUUGUGAAGGACUUCUCUGUCUACCCCAACAUCCAGGUCAGAUUCCUGGUGUCAUGCAUGCCCCCUCCCCUCAGGCCUCUCAUCAAAUCAAUGACUAGACCCCAGUGGUCCCAUCUCCACCUCCCAAGCCUCUUCCUGCAGCCCCAACCCAUUACUACUGCCCUCCCCAGCUCUCUGGGUGGCUGUGAUGAGCCUGGCUACUCUUCCCAUACACACGCAGCAACUAGAACUCCAGAAGCUUAACAAUAAAAUAUCAGAAAUAGAUAACUGAAUGGAAGGACAGAGAAGUAGAAUUGAAUCAAUGGGAGAAAGGAUCGGGAAAACAGAGGACAAAUCCCUUGAUACUAAUUUAUUUGAGGAACAACCAGAAAAAAGAAUAAAGGAAAAAUGAAGAAAGUCUAAGAGUUACGUGGAACGCCAUCAAGAGAAACAAUCUAUGCAUGACUGGAAUUCCAGAAUAGGAGGAGACAAGAAAAAGCAUGGAGAGAAUUUUCAAAGAAUUUCUGGCAGAAGACUUCCCUGAUAUCAUGAAAGAUAAGAAGUCUUCCACCCAAGAAACUCAGCAAACCCCCAUACAGGAUAGACCCCAAAAGAAAGUCACGAAGACAUAUCAUAAUCAAACUUUUCAAAACCAAAUACUAACAAAGAAAUCUUGAGAGCAUUCCAUGAAAAGCAAAAUAUCACAUACAAAGGGACACCAAUAAGACUAAGCUCUGACUUUUCUGCAGAAAUCAUGCAGGCAAGGAGACAAUAGGAUGACAUAUAUAAAACCCCAAAAGAAAAGAACUGCCAACCAAGAAUCAUAUAUCCAGCAAAACUGUCUCUCAAAUAUGAUGGCAAAAUGAGGAUAUUCCCAGAUAAACAGAAGUUAAGGGAACUUGUAAAAGCCAGACCAAACUUACAAGAAAUACUAAAGGGAGUCCUUUAGACAGAGAACAAACAACAUCAGAUAACAACCUGGGACCAAGACACAAGAUAACAUCACCCAGAAACCAGCCCAGACAAAGAACUCUCAAAAUUAAAAUAAAGCUACAAUGCUGAAAACAAGGAACUGGAGCUGUCAAUCUGAAAUCAACAAAUGGUGUAGUUAUAGAACUUCCAUAUGGAGAGGAAGUCAAGGCAGUAUUAAAAAAAACUCUUUUAAACAUAGGAUGAUAAAGGUAAACCUCACAGUAAUCACAAAGAAAAUGAACAAACCUACCCACCAAAGUAAACAAAAAGAAAAGCAAAAAGAUCCAGUAAACACAAGAUCAACAAAAAUGAAGGAAAUGAAAAGACAAUGUAUGAACAAAAAGAACUCAACACAGAAAAUUAAGCAGAACAAAGAAACCGUCAACACCACACAAAAAAAAGCAUAACAAAAUGGCAGCAAUAAAUUCAUAUUUAUCGAUAAUCACACUUAAUGUAAACAGUUUAAACACAGCAGUCAAGGGACAGAGUGGCAGGAUGGAUUAAAAAAAAAAAAAAUGACCUACCAAUAUGUUGCCUACAAGAGACAAAC